This 74-nucleotide transfer RNA is filed under the name Candidatus Altarchaeales archaeon ex4484_43. Its description in RNAcentral is "Candidatus Altiarchaeales archaeon ex4484_43 tRNA-Pro". It matches the Rfam family "tRNA". From Rfam's summary of the family: Transfer RNA (tRNA) molecules are approximately 80 nucleotides in length. Their secondary structure includes four short double-helical elements and three loops (D, anti-codon, and T loops). Lineage: Archaea; Nanobdellati; Candidatus Altarchaeota; Candidatus Altarchaeia; Candidatus Altarchaeales. The record is from RNAcentral. RNAcentral also lists the same sequence under 2 other names.
GGGACCGUGGGGUAGCUUGGUUAUCCUCGUGGCUUUGGGAGCCAUGGACCUGAGUUCGAAUCUCGGCGGUCCCA